RNAcentral lists this transfer RNA (71 nucleotides) under Ictidomys tridecemlineatus (thirteen-lined ground squirrel). RNAcentral's name for it is "Spermophilus tridecemlineatus (thirteen-lined ground squirrel) tRNA". It matches the Rfam family "tRNA". Rfam says of the family: Transfer RNA (tRNA) molecules are approximately 80 nucleotides in length. Their secondary structure includes four short double-helical elements and three loops (D, anti-codon, and T loops). Further hydrogen bonds mediate the characteristic L-shaped molecular structure. tRNAs have two regions of fundamental functional importance: the anti-codon, which is responsible for specific mRNA codon recognition, and the 3' end, to which the tRNAs corresponding amino acid is attached (by aminoacyl-tRNA synthetases). tRNAs cope with the degeneracy of the genetic code in two manners: having more than one tRNA (with a specific anti-codon) for a particular amino acid; and 'wobble' base-pairing, i.e. permitting non-standard base-pairing at the 3rd anti-codon position. The record is from Rfam by way of RNAcentral. Lineage: Eukaryota; Metazoa; Chordata; Mammalia; Rodentia; Sciuridae.
GUGGUUGUGGCUUAGUGGUAGAGCGCUCCUCUAGCAUGUGUGAGGCCCUGAGUUAGAUCCUCAGUACCACA